CACGUAGGGCGCAAGCGUUGUCCGGAAUCAUUGGGCGUAAAGAGCUCGUAGGUGGUUUGUUACGUCUGCUGUGAAAACCUAGGGCUUAACCCUGGGCUUGCAGUGGAUACGGGCAGACUAGAGGUAGGUAGGGGAGAAUGGAAUUUCUGGUGUAGCGGUGAAAUGCGCAGAUAUCGGGAGGAACACCGGUGGCGAAGGCGGUUCUCUGGGCCUGUACUGACGCUGAGGAGCGAAAGCGUGGGGAGCGAACAGG
Molecule: ribosomal RNA, 253 nt
Filed under: uncultured bacterium
Lineage: Bacteria
Description: partial 16S ribosomal RNA
Rfam family: Bacterial small subunit ribosomal RNA
Source: RNAcentral